This 366-nucleotide unclassified non-coding RNA is filed under the name uncultured Armatimonadota bacterium. RNAcentral's name for it is "uncultured Armatimonadetes bacterium contains 16S-23S intergenic spacer region". The record is from RNAcentral. Lineage: Bacteria; Bacillati; Armatimonadota.
UCCCCGUUGCCGGGGCAGUCUGAUUAGAAAAAUACAACUAAUCACAAGGGUUGCGCUCGUUGGCGGACUUAACCGUACACCUCACGGCACGAGCUGACGACAGCCAUGCAACAAGUGUCUUCACGUCCCCUUGUGGGGAAGGAGCCUAUUUCUAGGCUUUGCGAUCGAUGUCAAGUCUGGGUAAGGUUCUUCGGUUAGUAUCGAAUUAAUCCACAUGCUCCACCGCUUGUGCGGGUCCCCGUCAAUUCAUUUGAGUUUCAACCUUGCGGCCGUACUCCCCAGGCGGGAUACUUAAUGCGUUAGCUGCGGCACAAGAGGGGUCGAUACCUCUUACGCCUAGUAUCCAUCGUUUAGGGCUAGGACUAC